Molecule: non-coding RNA, 332 nt
Organism: Felis catus (domestic cat)
Lineage: Eukaryota; Metazoa; Chordata; Mammalia; Carnivora; Felidae
Rfam family: 7SK RNA
About the family: 7SK was discovered as an abundant small nuclear RNA in the mid-70s but a possible function has only recently been suggested. Two independent studies have found that 7SK RNA binds the CDK9/cyclin T complex (known as elongation factor P-TEFb). P-TEFb activates transcription by phosphorylating the C-terminal domain of RNA polymerase II.
Source: Rfam
GGAUGUGAGGGUGAUCUUGGCUUGUGACAUCUGUCACUCCAUUGAUCGCCAGGGUUGAUUCAAGUGAUCUGGCUGGCUAGAUGUGUGUCCCCUUCCUCCCUCACUGUUCCAUGUGCGUCCCUCUAGAAGCUGCACUUCUGGUUGAAGAGGAUGACCUUCCCCAACGGAUGAGGACUGUUCUCUAGUCAAGAGUAUAUACACGCUGCUGCGCUCCCCUGCUAGAACCUCCAAACAAGCUCUCAAGGUCUAUUUGUAGGAGAACGUAGGGUAUUCAAGCUUCCAAGACUCUAGACACAUCCAAACGAGGUGCUGCAUGUGGCAGUCUGCCUUCU